RNAcentral lists this ribosomal RNA (253 nucleotides) under uncultured bacterium. RNAcentral describes it as "partial 16S ribosomal RNA". It matches the Rfam family "Bacterial small subunit ribosomal RNA", at positions 524 to 776 of the family's 1533-position model. The record is from RNAcentral.
UACAGAGACUGCAAGCGUUAUUCGGAAUUACUGGGCGUAAAGGGCUCGUAGGUGGCCAACUAAGUCAGACGUGAAAUCCCUCGGCUUAACCGGGGAACUGCGUCUGAUACUGGAUGGCUUGAGAUUGGGAGAGGGAUGCGGAAUUCCAGGUGUAGCGGUGAAAUGCGUAGAUAUCUGGAGGAACACCGGUGGCGAAGGCGGCAUCCUGGACCAACACUGACACUGAGGAGCGAAAGCCAGGGGAGCAAACGGG